GACGAACGCUGGCGGCGUGCUUAACACAUGCAAGUCGAACGGAGUGGCGAACGGGUGAGUAAAACGUGGGUGAUCUGCCUUGCACUUCGGGAUAAGCUUGGGACACUGGGUCUAAUACCGGAUAGUGCAAGAUGAGCUCGCGGCCAAGCAGCUUGUUGGGGGGGUAAUGGCCUACCAAGGCGUCGACGGGUAGCCGGCCUGCGAGGGUGUACGGCCACAUGGUGCCUUAGAUACUGCCCAGACUCCUACGGGAGGCAGCAGUGGGGAAUAUUGCACAAUGGGCGGAAGCCUGAUGCAGCGACGCCGCGUGGGGGAUGAAGGCCUUCGGGUUGUAAACUCCUUUCGACAGGGACUCGUUACCUGUAUAAGAAGCACCGGCUAACUACGUGCCAGCCGCCGCGGUAAUUC
RNAcentral lists this ribosomal RNA (408 nucleotides) under uncultured bacterium. RNAcentral's name for it is "partial 16S ribosomal RNA". It matches the Rfam family "Bacterial small subunit ribosomal RNA", at positions 28 to 526 of the family's 1533-position model. The record is from RNAcentral.